RNAcentral lists this long non-coding RNA (946 nucleotides) under Mus musculus (house mouse). Its description in RNAcentral is "long non-coding RNA chr9:65136996-65137942". The record is from RNAcentral. Lineage: Eukaryota; Metazoa; Chordata; Mammalia; Rodentia; Muridae.
UUCUGGGCCAAGUUAGAAAUAACCAGUCUAUUUUCCCUUUAUUUUAUUUUAUUUUAUUUUAUUUUAUGUCUUUCAGUGGAGUUGUAGCUUCUGAAAGCGUCUGUGUUUAUUAGCCUUGUGUGUCACUCAUGUUUGACCCCACCCACAUUUCCUUCUCCUCCCCUCUUCAGCCAGCCUAUGAUAACACUAAAGAUUAUUAAUGCUGGCUUCGUAUCUCAUUAAAGACAGGAUUGUCACUUGAACUACUUCUAUAGCAUUCAAAGUGGCCACGGCCAACACCACCGUAUGUUUCUUCAUUGCUCUGAAGGUCAAGAGCCUCAUUUUGUUUUCCUGGUUAGAUUUUUUUCCUCCUUGCCUUGAAUGAAAUAACCGUUUUAACAGUAGGCUCUUAGCAUCACACCACAUAGUCAUUCCUCAUGUUCUUGUUUAACAAGCACUGAGGUUCUGGUUUAAAUUAAAUAGCUGCAAAUGAGACAAUUUAUAACCCAUUAGGCUGGGUGGAAAAUUGUUUCUCAAAAGCAAAUAAGUAAUAAAUCUGGUAUCUGCCUAUAACUCACAGUUGAUAAGAAAGUAGCCAGAACUCACUAGCAUUAUAUAUGAUUUGGGUUCUGAGUAACUGGGGAGUGUUAGCUUUGUGACUUUGUAGCAGCAGGUCUUAUUAGGAAAGUCUGUUGGCCUUUUACAGGGCAUUAGUCCCUUUGUCGUUUGCCAUGGAUGCCUUAAGUUCUUUGGAGUCUCAUUUAAGAAUUUCUUUUCUCGAAGCAUGACAAGUGUAUGCAAUACUUACAUGCUCACUCGUUUACCUGUGCUUAGUUUGUGCUGGGUUAUUUAAUUGCACUUUCCAGCAUCAUGCUUCCUCCUUACAAAUAUGAUAUUCUUUAUUGUUACACUAAGGUGUUGAUCAUGUAUCUGUCCCUGUAAAGAAUUAAUAAACUAUUUUCCAGAC